Molecule: ribosomal RNA, 253 nt
Filed under: uncultured bacterium
Lineage: Bacteria
Description: partial 16S ribosomal RNA
Rfam family: Bacterial small subunit ribosomal RNA
Source: RNAcentral
UACGGAGGGUGCAAGCAUUAAUCGGAAUUAUUGGGCGUAAAGGGCGCGUAGGCGGAUAGGAAAGUCGGAUGUGAAAUUUCGGAGCUCAACUUCGAAGCUGCAUUCGAAACUUCCUGUCUAGAGGAUAGGCGGAGAAAACGGAAUUCCACGUGUAGCGGUGAAAUGCGUAGAGAUGUGGAAGAACACCUGUGGCGAAAGCGGUUUUCUAGCUUAUUCCUGACGCUGAGGCGCGAAAGCAAGGGGAGCAAACAGG